CCCCGGUAAACGGCGGCCGUAACUAUAACGGUCCUAAGGUAGCGAAAUUCCUUGUCGGGUAAGUUCCGACCUGCACGAAUGGCGUAAUGAUGGCCAGGCUGUCUCCACCCGAGACUCAGUGAAAUUGAACUCGCUGUGAAGAUGCAGUGUACCCGCGGCAAGACGGAAAGACCCCGUGAACCUUUACUAUAGCUUGACACUGAACAUUGAGCCUUGAUGUGUAGGAUAGGUGGGAGGCUUUGAAGUGUGGACGCCAGUCUGCAUGGAGCCGACCUUGAAAUACCACCCUUUAAUGUUUGAUGUUCUAACGUGGACCCGUAAUCCGGGUUGCGGACAGUGUCUGGUGGGUAGUUUGACUGGGGCGGUCUCCUCCUAAAGAGUAACGGAGGAGCACGAAGGUUGGCUAAUCCUGGUCGGACAUCAGGAGGUUAGUGCAAUGGCAUAAGCCAGCUUGACUGCGAGCGUGACGGCGCGAGCAGGUGCGAAAGCAGGUCAUAGUGAUCCGGUGGUUCUGAAUGGAAGGGCCAUCGCUCAACGGAUAAAAGGUACUCCGGGGAUAACAGGCUGAUACCGCCCAAGAGUUCAUAUCGACGGCGGUGUUUGGCACCUCGAUGUCGGCUCAUCACAUCCUGGGGCUGAAGUAGGUCCCAAGGGUAUGGCUGUUCGCCAUUUAAAGUGGUACGCGAGCUGGGUUUAGAACGUCGUGAGACAGUUCGGUCCCUAUC
RNAcentral lists this ribosomal RNA (725 nucleotides) under Salmonella enterica. Its description in RNAcentral is "partial 23S ribosomal RNA". It matches the Rfam family "Bacterial large subunit ribosomal RNA", at positions 1918 to 2642 of the family's 2925-position model. Lineage: Bacteria; Pseudomonadati; Pseudomonadota; Gammaproteobacteria; Enterobacterales; Enterobacteriaceae. RNAcentral also lists the same sequence under 1 other name. The record is from RNAcentral.